AUGUCUGAAGGGAAAUAUCCCAUACCUCCUGGUGGUUUUCCUAUUCGGCCAAAGUUACUCAUAGUGGACCCUGGGGCCAAAUAUGGAUUAAAAGGAGAUAAAGUCGCCAUCACAUUUUAUGAGUAUAUUGACAGCUUUCCUCGACGGAGGUUGGAAUCCCAGAACCGCUGCCACUCGUCGCAACUGGUUGUUUUCUAUGGUUUUGAGCAUUAUUAUGGGGAAGAGAAUCGAUUAAUUGAAAAGCCGGCACUAUCACAGAUUUGA
Molecule: non-coding RNA, 264 nt
Organism: Vicia faba (fava bean)
Lineage: Eukaryota; Viridiplantae; Streptophyta; Magnoliopsida; Fabales; Fabaceae
Source: the annotation of a GenBank genome assembly